RNAcentral lists this long non-coding RNA (3452 nucleotides) under Mytilus galloprovincialis (Mediterranean mussel). The record is from RNAcentral. Lineage: Eukaryota; Metazoa; Mollusca; Bivalvia; Mytilida; Mytilidae.
UGGUUGGUUGGUUUGUUGGUUGGUUGGUUGGUUGGUUGGUUGGACCCUAUAAGAAACACAUGAGACGGAAACAUGAUUGAUUGAUUGAUCAUGAUCAUUAUUGGUUGAUUGAUCAUGAUCAUGAUUGAUUGAUUGAUUGAUUGAUUGAUUGGUUGGUUGGUUGGUAUGUUGGUUGGUUGGUUGAAAUUCAAACACACAUAAAACUGUUUAAAUAGUGCCAAAACCACAUAAUUUGAUGACCUUGACCUUUGACCUUGUGACCUUCGUCAAGGUCAUUGCUCCACAAGGUCAUUGCAAAAGACCCUAUGGGUCAAGGACCUUUUGUUUAAGAGUUUUGCCUAAAAUAUGGCUUUUUAAAAACCAUCGAUGGGAGUUAUGUCCCUUACAUGAUGGUAAAAUCAAUAUAGUCAUAAUGUAAAAAAGUUGCCCCUUGAAGUACUUAACAUUUUUCACUGCUUAAAUUUUCUGUAUCUAUAACCAUUCAAGAAUUAUAGGGAAAUCAAAGACAUAUGAAAAUCUAAAAUAUGACCUUGACCUUUGACCUUGACCUAAUUUUCUAAGUUAGGAAUCAGGGGACUCAAAUAAAAACAUUCCAGGGUUAUACGGUUAACGGUUUAUGAGUUAAAAAAACAUACCGACAAAUUUAUUCCGUAAAGAUAGAUAACUCCUAUAAAAUUUCAUCGAAUCGCUUCGAUCCAAAUUAGCCAAAAAUUCUGAGGAUGUAACGAACAAUUUGUAAAAAGAAUUUUGUCGCUAUCUUUUUUUGUUACGAAGGAGAUGCACACAGAUGAUAAACAGUGAAUAGGGAGAUAACUCUUACAAAGAAAAUGGUUCGGCUUAGCAGGGUGAAAUUUAAAAGCGCAUAAACUAUACGAUACAAUAUGAGAAAUAUCUAAGCGACAUAUUGCGAAACAAACAUUUCGCAAGAACAAAAUUUGGCGGAAAGAAAAAAAAAAUAAUAAUAAUAAUAAUAAUAAUUAAAAACCAAUUGUUCAGAGAACAAUUGAAAGUCUUUCCACAUCAAAGAAAUUUUUGAUAAGAAGAUAGUUUCUUCAUACUGAUGCGAUAAAUAAUGGUUUAAUUAUAUUUUUGAGUGAUAUAAGGGAGAUAAUAUGCUACUUCCGGUGAAAUGAAUGUCACUUCCGGUCUCAUAUGAUAGCUUCUUUCACACUGAUUCCAAAAAUAUAUAGUUUCUAUAUACUUUUGUAUGUAGAAUGGGAGAUAAUUGGCCACUUCCGGUUUGUUGGAAGUCAUUUUUAGUCUUCAGUAAUCAGUUUAUGUAUCUAUAUGACAAAAUAUAUGGAUUCUGAGUACUUUUAUAUGAAAAAAUUGCAAAAAAGGCUACUUCCGGUUUUCUCAAGGUCACUUCCGGUAGUCAUUUUUCAAGGUCAUUUGUCACCUUAACCUUUUGUACAAGGUCAAAUGCCUUUAUAAUGAACUUAGUUGAAGUUAUAAUCAAAUAACCUCAUAUCAAGACAUUUCAGGGGCAAACUCCUAUAAGAUGCCAUUAAUUGUAAGACAAAUGUAGCAUAUCUUAUUACAAUAAAGCAGACAUUUUGCACUUGUUUUUUAUAUGUAUCUUUAAAGUUCAGAGAAAAUGCAAAAAACAAGCAAAAUCACAAUUGAGAACUUGACCUUGACCUUUGACCUUGACCUAAUUUUCUAAGUUAGGACCCAGGGGACUCAAAUAAAAACAUUCCAGGGUUAUACGGUUAACGGUUUAUGAGUUAAAAAAACAUACCGACAAAUUUAUUCCGUAAAGGUAGAUAACUCCUAUAAAAUUUCAUCGAAUCGCUUCGAUCCAAAUUAGCCAAAAUUUUCUGAGGAUGUAACGAACAAUUUGUAAAAAGAAUUUUGUCGCUAUCUUUUUUUGUUACGAAGGAGAUGCACACACAUGAUAAACAGUGAAUAGGGAGAUAACUCUUACAAAGAAAAUGGUUCGCUUAGCAGGGUGAAAUUUAAAAGCGCAUAAACUAUACGAUACAAUAUGAGAAAUAUCUAAGCGACAUAUUGCGAAACAAACAUUUAUCGCAAGAAAGUUGGCGGAAAAAAAAAAUAAUAAUAAUAAAUAUAAAGCAAUUGUUUUGAAAACAAUUGUUAGGCAGUCUUUCCCCUCUGAUGAAUGGAUAAUUGAUUUUUUUUUAUUGAUUGAUUUGGAAAAAGGGGGGGGGGGGGGGUAUUUGUUUAUUUGUUUGUUUGUUUGCUUUGUUAUGGGGUCUAUAUUAUUAUUAUGUUACCGGAGAAGUUUCAUGUUUAGUUUGGAAAGUUUUUCUUUUAUUUUAGAUACAGCGCGCGCGCAAGAUUGAGGAGACAUCACGUGACGCGGGUUUAUAUUAAGAAAAACUUAGUCUUUUUAAUUUCUUUUUAGGUCGGGACCUUGAACAGACAACAUGUCUAGAGAUGGAAUGUACACAAUGUAAUUUCUUUUGUCAUUGUAGGAAAUUGACAUUUUGAUCACAGUUCACCAGCAGUGCAUGUUUUGGAUUUAAUCGAUCCGGUGUAACUUUAAAACACAUUUAAUGAUUAUUUUUUGAUAAUGUCCAUUUUUCAGCACCUGUUUGUAACACAGAUUAGUAUUUCAAUCUCGGAGCGGACAUUUUAUUGUAGGUUUUUACUGAGAUUGACGGACCUAGCAAGCGAUUUUUACUGCAUUGCCAUUUCUUUUUUCUAGGAAAAGUCUUGAGAGAUAUCUGCAAAAAGUUUUUUUAUGAACCUUCAGUACAUGUAUGCCCUGCUGACUGCAAAUUUUCAGGUCGAUUGGACUUGUAGUUUCAGAGAAUAUGUGGAUUUUUUUUCAGAAGAGACGUAAGAACAAUAAUAAAAUAAAAAUUUUCUUGAAUAAUUGAGAGUUUGUUCCUUCAAUAAACUGUCAUAAAUAAACAGUCAUACAUAUUGAUUGAUUGAUUAGUUGGUUGAUUGAUUGGUUGGUUGGUUGGUUGGUUGGUUGAUUAAACACGUUUGAUAGGGUCACUUAGAACAAGGGAAAAAAAACCUCAAGAGACCUUGCAUCCCGUAUUAAACGCAUGACACGGAAACAUACAUUAAGUGAUUGAUUGGUUGGUUGGUUGGUUGGUUAAACACGUUGGUUAAACAUGUUGGUUUAACACGUUGGUUAAACACGUUGGCUGGUUAAACACGUUUGAUAGGCUCAAUUUAAACAAGCGAAAAAAAAAAACAUCUUGGAUCCCGUAUUUAACACAUGAAACGGAAACAUGCAUUGAUUGGUUGAUUGGUUGAUUGGUUGGUUUUGUUGGUUGGUUAAACACGUUGGUUAAACACGUUGGCUGGUUAAACACGUUUGAUAGGCUCAAUUUUAAACAAGCGAAAAAAAAAAAAAACAUCUUGGAUCCCGUAUUUAACACAUGAAACGGAAACAUGCAUUGAUUGAUUGAUUGGUUGGUUGGUUGGUUGGUUGGUUGGUUAAACACGUUGGUUAAACAUGUUGGUUAAAC